GGAUUUAACCCUUGCAAAGGCUAUUACAGUUGCUAGCCAAAUUGAAACAGCAGUGGCAGAGGCUAAAACUCUCAGAGGGAGGCCAGAUGGAUAAAGCGCUUGGAUAGUGCUUAUCCGAAAGGGUUAAAUGAGCAGUGCAAUUUAUCAUGUUUUCUUUAAUAGUAAUGGCUUGUCGUCCUUUGUUCCCAGGAAUUAUAACUAGAUUCCAAGUUGUAAUGACAUGGAACUCCUGCUGCAUUUACAUAUGGGUCUUUUACAGGUUAGGCGGAUUGAGCAGUAACCUGGUUUUAACAUUAUGUUUCAGUGGGAUUUCAACAUGUAUUAUAUGAAAUAAUGUGUGUCACUUUUAAUAGCUAGAUGAAUUGGGUCACAAUAAGUUUUUACAAUAUUUA
Long non-coding RNA from Xenopus laevis (African clawed frog), 392 nucleotides. RefSeq lists it as uncharacterized. The record is from RefSeq and is a predicted model, not a curated record. The transcript has 2 exons. NCBI's taxonomy places the organism in Eukaryota, Metazoa, Chordata, Amphibia, Anura, Pipidae.